This 571-nucleotide ribosomal RNA is filed under the name Penicillium turbatum. RNAcentral's name for it is "eukaryotic LSU rRNA". It matches the Rfam family "Eukaryotic large subunit ribosomal RNA", at positions 62 to 648 of the family's 3401-position model. The record is from RNAcentral. Lineage: Eukaryota; Fungi; Ascomycota; Eurotiomycetes; Eurotiales; Aspergillaceae.
AAACCAACAGGGAUUGCCUCAGUAACGGCGAGUGAAGCGGCAAGAGCUCAAAUUUGAAAGCUGGCCCCCUCGGGGUCCGCAUUGUAAUUUGCAGAGGAUGCUUCGGGAGUGGCCCCCAUCUAAGUGCUCUGGAACGGGCCGUCAUAGAGGGUGAGAAUCCCGUAUGGGAUGGGGUGUCCGCGACCAUGUGAAGCUCCUUCGACGAGUCGAGUUGUUUGGGAAUGCAGCUCUAAAUGGGUGGUAAAUUUCAUCUAAAGCUAAAUAUUGGCCGGAGACCGAUAGCGCACAAGUAGAGUGAUCGAAAGAUGAAAAGCACUUUGAAAAGAGAGUUAAAAAGCACGUGAAAUUGUUGAAAGGGAAGCGCUUGCGACCAGACUCGCCUGCGGGGUUCAGCCGGUAUUCGUACCGGUGUACUUCCCCGUGGGCGGGCCAGCGUCGGUUUGGGCGGCCGGUCAAAGGCCCUCGGAAUGUAACGCCUCUCGGGGCGUCUUAUAGCCGAGGGUGCCAUGCGGCCAGCCCGGACCGAGGAACGCGCUUCGGCACGGACGCUGGCAUAAUGGUCGUAAGCGAC